UCCGUUUGAUCCCGGCGGAGGCCACUGCUAUCGGAGUUCGAUUAAGCCAUGCGAGUCGAGAGGUGUAAGACCUCGGCAUACUGCUCAGUAACACGUGGACAACCUACCCUGAGGAGGGGGAUAACCCCGGGAAACUGGGGAUAAUACCCCAUAGGCUAUGGAUGCUGGAAUGCUCUGUAGUCGAAAGGUCCGCCGCCUCAGGAUGGGUCUGCGGCCGAUUAGGUUGUUGUUGGGGUAACGGCCCAACAAGCCUGUAAUCGGUACGGGUUGUGGGAGCAAGAGCCCGGAGAUGGAUUCUGAGACACGAAUCCAGGCCCUACGGGGCGCAGCAGGCGCGAAAACUUUACAAUGCGAGCAAUCGUGAUAAGGGAACUCCGAGUGCCCGUAAAAUCGGGCUGUCCGCCAGUGUAAAUAACUGGUGAAGAAAGGGCCGGGCAAGACCGGUGCCAGCCGCCGCGGUAAUACCGGCGGCUCGAGUGGUGGCCACUAUUACUGGGCUUAAAGCGUUCGUAGCUGGUCUGUUAAGUCUCUGGGGAAAUCUUCCGGCUUAACCGGAAGGCGUCUCAGGGAUACUGGCAGACUAGGGACCGGAAGAGGUGAGAGGUACUCCAGGGGUAGGAGUGAAAUCCUGUAAUCCUUGGGGGACCACCUGUGGCGAAGGCGUCUCACCAGGACGGCUCCGACAGUGAGGAACGAAAGCUGGGGGAGCAAACCGGAUUAGAUACCCGGGUAGUCCCAGCUGUAAACGAUGCGCGUUAGGUGUAUCGGUGACCACGAGUCACCGAGGUGCCGAAGAGAAAUCGUGAAACGUGCCGCCUGGGAAGUACGGUCGCAAGGCUGAAACUUAAAGGAAUUGGCGGGGGGGCACCACAACGGGUGGAGCCUGCGGUUUAAUCGGACUCAACGCCGGGAAACUCACCGGACAAGACAGCUGAAUGAUUGCCGGGCUGAAGACUCUGCAUGACUAGCUGAGAGGAGGUGCAUGGCCGUCGUCAGUUCGUACUGUGAAGCAUCCUGUUAAGUCAGGCAACGAGCGAGACCCA
RNAcentral lists this ribosomal RNA (1043 nucleotides) under uncultured archaeon. RNAcentral's name for it is "bacterial SSU rRNA". It matches the Rfam family "Archaeal small subunit ribosomal RNA", at positions 1 to 1054 of the family's 1478-position model. The record is from RNAcentral.